Homo sapiens (human) is the source of this 1164-nucleotide long non-coding RNA. Ensembl annotates it as long intergenic non-protein coding RNA 237. The record is from Ensembl. NCBI's taxonomy places the organism in Eukaryota, Metazoa, Chordata, Mammalia, Primates, Hominidae.
GGGGGUUGUGGGUAUGCGGCUAGAGGGAAGGUUCCAGACACGUCGAGAGUGGGAAACUUAAAUUCCCCUCUCUGGUGUAGGCGCAGGCUUUAGCUCCAGGAUCUUUUCUGGAAGAGACUGGGGCAGCAUGAAUGUGCUGGAAGAUUAGAGGCUGCUGAUGCUGAAGGAAGGAGAAACGAGGAGGAAGUGUCCCUGUGGACAAGUCAUCUCCCUUCAUUUAAGCCAGGCCAGUAGUCCGGGAGACAUUCUGAAUGAUGCAUUAUCCUAGGCACCAGAAAGUAUCUAACAUUCUCAUGGACAGCAGGGAAAAAUGAGCACAUGAGACAGGGGAAGAUUCCAGCACCUGUGAACAUGUUUGUGCAGGUUUCCAGUCAGUACAUGGAUAUCCCUCAAGCCUUUGAAUCCAGUCUCCUGUGUUGUGAUUGGACCGUUUGUCAUUAGGUUUCCAGUGGCAGAGUAAUGCUGUGGGAGAACUGGCUACGAUGGCCGCAGGAGGUGAAUUAAGUAUUGUUGUGUUUUUAGUAGAACCACUAAAGGAAGAUCUGCAGGCAAGUUGGAUGAGUAUAAGAGCCAAAGAUUGACAAGACUUCCUCAGAUGCUCCUACUGACCAGUGGGGGCACUUCUACAGCUCCCCGAAUAUGUUCUCCCUGCAACCCCCACCACUUUUUAAUUAAAUGGCCAGAACUGCCUUUUUGUAUCAAAACUUAUUUUAGUCUAUCAAUCAAAGGCUUCUAUAGCCCACCUCAUGGCAAAGGAUAUCAGAGAGGGAAGGCUGGGAGGUAUGAAUUUGAAGCUGGACACGUUGCUGCUCCCCUUAAAGUUUGGAUUAUUUUACUAAAGAAGAAGAGAACAGGAUCUUGUGUCUUCUACCAGUAUCCAUGAGAUUGUGGCAGGCUAAAAUCACAGACUCUUCAGAGUUUUCAUAAUGAUAAAGUAAAUAUUGCAAAGUACACAUACAAUAAGUGUACAAUUGAUGAAUCCUACAAAGUGAACUCACUCAUGUAACCAGCACCAGAUGAAGAAAAAAACAUCAGCAGCAUCACAGAAGCCCCCCAAAUGUCCCCUUCAGUCAAUAGCCUCCCAAAGAUAACCACACUCCUAUCUAGCAGUGUGGGUUAAUUUUUCCUGUUUUUGAACUUUGCAUAUAUUAAAUCAUACAACAU